RNAcentral lists this unclassified non-coding RNA (336 nucleotides) under soil metagenome. Its description in RNAcentral is "partial contains 5.8S ribosomal RNA, internal transcribed spacer 2, and large subunit ribosomal RNA". The stretch from base 1 to 120 matches the Rfam family "5.8S ribosomal RNA", at positions 35 to 154 of the family's 154-position model. The record is from RNAcentral.
GAUGAAGAACGCAGUGAAAUGCGAUAAGUAAUGUGAAUUGCAGAAUUCCGUGAAUCAUCGAAUCUUUGAACGCACAUUGCGCCCCCUGGUAUUCCGGGGGGCAUGCCUGUCCGAGCGUCAUUGCAACCUUCAAGCGCGGCUUGUGUGUUGGGUCUCGUCCCCCGUGGACGGGCCCGAAAGGCAGUGGCGGCGUCCCGACAUGGUGCCCGAGCGUAUGGGAAUCCUCUUCCGCUCGAAUCGGCCCAUGCGGCGCUGGUCGUAACCAAAUUUUUUACCGGUUGACCUCGGAUCAGGUAGGGAUACCCGCUGAACUUAAGCAUAUCAAUAAGCGGAGGA